This 196-nucleotide ribosomal RNA is filed under the name Salmonella enterica. RNAcentral describes it as "partial 23S ribosomal RNA". It matches the Rfam family "Bacterial large subunit ribosomal RNA", at positions 2747 to 2925 of the family's 2925-position model. Lineage: Bacteria; Pseudomonadati; Pseudomonadota; Gammaproteobacteria; Enterobacterales; Enterobacteriaceae. The record is from RNAcentral. RNAcentral also lists the same sequence under 3 other names.
AGCUAAAUGCGGAAGAGAUAAGUGCUGAAAGCAUCUAAGCACGAAACUUGCCCCGAGAUGAGUUCUCCCUGAGACUUUAGGUCUCCUGAAGGAACGUUGAAGACGACGACGUUGAUAGGCCGGGUGUGUAAGCGCAGCGAUGCGUUGAGCUAACCGGUACUAAUGAACCGUGAGGCUUAACCUUACAACGCCGAAG